AAGUCGUAACAAGGUUUCCGUAGGUGAACCUGCGGAAGGAUCAUUAACGAGUUAACCUGGGGUGGUGGGGAUUCGAUGCUGGCCGCUCUGNNNCACGUGCUCGUCCCCCUGCCCCUCAUCCACUCACAACCCCUGUGCAUUAUGAGAGGUGUGGUCUCCCCUUUCAACGGGAGCAGCUCCCUUCCGGCCUCACCGCCGGGGGGUCGAGCCGGGACCACGCUUCGAACCCNUUCACACAAACCUUUGAAACAGUAUCGUAGAAUGUAUUGACCGUCAACGGUCGAACCUAAAUACAACUUUCAACAACGGAUCUCUUGGCUCUCGCAUCGAUGAAGAACGCAGCGAAAUGCGAUAAGUAAUGUGAAUUGCAGAAUUCAGUGAAUCAUCGAAUCUUUGAACGCACCUUGCGCUCCUUGGUAUUCCGAGGAGCAUGCCUGUUUGAGUAUCAUGAAAUCAUCAACCCCCGCCUUCUUUGUUGAAGGUCGGAGGCUUGGAGUUUGGGGGAUUACUGCCGGUCGCGUCAAGCGGUCGGCUCCCCUUGAAUGCAUUAGCUGGGCGCCACGGUACGGCGGUUCACGGUGUGAUAGAUUAUCUACACCCACGGGACCUCGAACCGGUCGAGCUUCUAACCGUCCCCUCGUCGGGACANCCCCUUUGAAAUCCGAUCUCAAAUCAGGUAGGACUACCCGCUGACUUAAGCAUAUCAAUAAGCGGAGGAAANGAAACUANCANGGAUUCCCCUAGUANCUGCGAGUGANGCGGGAUGAGCUCAAAUUUAAAAUCUGGCGGCUUUGUCGUCCGAGUUGUAAUCUGGGGAAGCGUUUUCCGCGUCGGACCGUGUACAAGUCUCUUGGAACAGAGCGUCAUAGAGGGUGAGAAUCCCGUCCAUGACACGGACCGCCGAUGCUUUGUGAUACGCUCUCGAAGAGUCGAGUUGUUUGGGAAUGCAGCUCAAAAUGGGUGGUAAAUUCCAUCUAAAGCUAAAUAUUGGCGAGAGACCGAUAGCGAACAAGUACCGUGAGGGAAAGAUGAAAAGCACUUUGGAAAGAGAGUUAAACAGUACGUGAAAUUGUUGAAAGGGAAACGCUUGAAGUCAGUCGCGUCGUCCGGGACUCAGCCGUGCUUCUGCUCGGUGUACUUUCCGGUUGACGGGCCAACAUCGAUUUCGGUCGGCGGACAAGGACGUGAGGAAGGUGGCACCUCCGGGUGUGUUAUAGCCUCUCGUCGUAUACGUCGGCGGGGAUCGAGGACCGCAGCACGCCUUUAUGGCCGGGGUUCGCCCACGUAACGUGCUUAGGAUGUUGGCAUAAUGGCUUUAAGCGACCCGUCUUGAAACACGGACC
RNAcentral lists this ribosomal RNA (1343 nucleotides) under uncultured fungus. RNAcentral's name for it is "eukaryotic LSU rRNA". The stretch from base 663 to 1343 matches the Rfam family "Eukaryotic large subunit ribosomal RNA", at positions 1 to 667 of the family's 3401-position model. The record is from RNAcentral. Lineage: Eukaryota; Fungi.